Hyla sarda is the source of this 502-nucleotide long non-coding RNA. RefSeq lists it as uncharacterized. The transcript is spliced from 4 exons. The record is from RefSeq and is a predicted model, not a curated record. NCBI's taxonomy places the organism in Eukaryota, Metazoa, Chordata, Amphibia, Anura, Hylidae.
CAUGAAACCGGAGCGGCACGGGAGCAAGGACAGGUAUGUUUAUGACACAUUGAACAGUGAAAUCGGCGCUCUGCUAGUACAGUCUGACUGAGUGACUAUGCCCACCAUGGAAGUGUUCAGGAGGCCUCUGGGACAUCGGUGCCCCAUCUGAUUGGUCAGUCUCUGCUGCCCAUCACAGGGAUGGGUGCUGCCAUGCUGCAUGGUACUUGUUCCCUGACAACCAGGGAUGCUACACAACAGAAGAGGGCGCAGCGCAGGAACCGGAAUCGUACAUAGCGCUGGAGCCUGGCCAGGUCAUUACUCCUGGGAUUUAUCUCGGCGCUGUGAAGAGAAUAUAGAUGAACAAAAGAAAGGGAGAGAUACUUCUUAUGCUCCUUUCAGCUUGUGUAAAAACGCAAGUUGUGCGAAACAGUUCUGUCCUGCCCGCCCUUGUUCCUCUUGCCUCUGCCUGCUGGAAUUUCUUUUGCUUUAUCUGUCGAAUUAAAGCUACAUGCGAAUGGUG